UCCGCCAGAGAACUACAAGUGAAAAACUUGAAACUCAAAGGACUUGACGGUGUCCCAUAUCGACCUAGAGGAGCCUGUCCUAUAAUCGAUACCCCCCGUUCCACCCGACCUCAACUAGCAAAAUAUCAGCCUAUAUACCGCCGUCGACAGUCUACCCCAUGAGGGCUCAACAGUAGACACAACAGCCUUAACGCUAAUACGUCAGGUCAAGGUGUAGCAAAUGUUGAGGAAAAGAUUGGCUACAUUUUUUAUGAUAAAAAACACGAAUUGCACUAUGAAACACUGCAUGAAGGUGAAUUUAGUAGUAAAACAGACAAGAGUGUCUGUUUUAACAACGCUCUGG
This 343-nucleotide ribosomal RNA is filed under the name Podarcis tiliguerta. Its description in RNAcentral is "12S ribosomal RNA". It matches the Rfam family "Bacterial small subunit ribosomal RNA", at positions 868 to 1377 of the family's 1533-position model. The record is from RNAcentral. Lineage: Eukaryota; Metazoa; Chordata; Lepidosauria; Squamata; Lacertidae.